CAGCAGCCACGGUAAUACGAAGGGGGCUAGCGUUGUUCGGAUUUACUGGGCGUAAAGGGCGCGUAGGCGGACUGAUAAGUCAGGGGUGAAAUCCCAAGGCUCAACCUUGGAACUGCCUUUGAUACUGUUUGUCUUGAGUUCGAGAGAGGUAAGUGGAACUGCGAGUGUAGAGGUGAAAUUCGUAGAUAUUCGCAAGAACACCAGUGGCGAAGGCGGCUUACUGGCUCGAAACUGACGCUGAGGCGCGAAAGCGUGGGGAGCAAACAGGAUUAGAGACCCCCGUAGUCCCUGUCUCUUAUAC
This 301-nucleotide ribosomal RNA is filed under the name uncultured bacterium. RNAcentral's name for it is "partial 16S ribosomal RNA". It matches the Rfam family "Bacterial small subunit ribosomal RNA", at positions 509 to 807 of the family's 1533-position model. The record is from RNAcentral.